UUAGUAUAAACUGGGACAUAUCCUAAUUUCAAAAAUGAUGCAUUACUUCCAAUUUGUUCCCAAAAAGAAAUGAAUGUGAUAUUUGCAAUUAACUCAUAACCCAAGCAAGCAUGUAUAGAAGCCUACAAAAAAAGCCUCAAGUUCCGCCAGGAAAGGCGACUAAAAAAAAACGUUGGAGGAAAAAACAUUAUCGUCAGGAGUUCCCAUUUUAUAUUGAACUUAUCUCUUAUUCCUGCAGACAUCAUUUUCAUUAAAGAAUUGAGUAGCAGUCUGUUUUCUGGCCUUAUAUAUAGAGUUGUUAAUAUAAUUGGACACAUAUAUAUAAAGUUGUUAAUAUGAUUAGCCAUAUAUAGAGAGUUGUUAAUAUGCAGGGGUUCGGGUGGAUGCGGGCGACCAUGAUGUGGUCCAGCAUGACGUUGACAAGCUUGAAUCAGACGGACUUCUAGCUCUGAGAAAAAAUGAAACAAAAAAGCUGGGACGUAUCAAUACAUUGGAGCAGGAGGCAGGGUCGCCCUUAAAAAAAACAGUUGGUAAGAUACAUACUAUGAAAAUCGCAAACCUAUAUUCGUUCGUCAUAUAAAUUAAAAUGAUUGUUUUCGGCGCAAGUGCAUUGAUAUAAAAAGUC
Long non-coding RNA from Panicum virgatum (switchgrass), 625 nucleotides. RefSeq lists it as uncharacterized. NCBI's taxonomy places the organism in Eukaryota, Viridiplantae, Streptophyta, Magnoliopsida, Poales, Poaceae. The record is from RefSeq and is a predicted model, not a curated record. The transcript has 3 exons.